AUUGAACGCUGGCGGCAGGCCUAACACAUGCAAGUCGAGCGGAGCGGCGGACGGGUGAGUAAUGCCUAGGAAUCUGCCUGGUAGUGGGGGAUAACGUCCGGAAACGGGCGCUAAUACCGCAUACUAUCAGAUGAGCCUAGGUCGGAUUAGCUAGUUGGUGGGGUAAAGGCCUACCAAGGCGACGAUCCGUAACUGGUCUGAGAGGAUGAUCAGUCAAACUGGAACGGAGAAAGGGGACCGCCUCCGACGUGAGGCAGCAGUGGGGAAGAUUGGACAAUGGGCGAAAGCCUGAACCAGCAAUGCCGCGUGUGUGAAGAAGGUCUUCGGAGGGUAAAGCACUUUAAGUUGGGAGGCGAUACAAAAAGAAUAAGCACCGGCUAACUUCGUGCCAGCAGCCGCGGUAAUUC
RNAcentral lists this ribosomal RNA (407 nucleotides) under uncultured bacterium. RNAcentral describes it as "partial 16S ribosomal RNA". It matches the Rfam family "Bacterial small subunit ribosomal RNA", at positions 29 to 526 of the family's 1533-position model. The record is from RNAcentral.